This 253-nucleotide ribosomal RNA is filed under the name uncultured bacterium. Its description in RNAcentral is "partial 16S ribosomal RNA". It matches the Rfam family "Bacterial small subunit ribosomal RNA", at positions 524 to 776 of the family's 1533-position model. The record is from RNAcentral.
UACGGAGGGGGCUAGCGUUGUUCGGAAUUACUGGGCGUAAAGCGCGCGUAGGCGGCUUUGUAAGUUAGAGGUGAAAGCCCGGAGCUCAACUCCGGAACUGCCUUUAAGACUGCAUCGCUAGAACGUCGGAGAGGUAAGUGGAAUUCCGAGUGUAGAGGUGAAAUUCGUAGAUAUGUGGAGGAACACCAGUGGCGAAGGCGACUCUUUGGCCUGUAACUGACGCUGAGGCGCGAAAGCGUGGGGAGCAAACAGG